GCCUUAAAGCUGAUCCAUCUCCCAUUGGUAUUACAGUUUGGACAGUACCCUUACCAAAUGUCUUCAUGCCUAAUAGAAUACCUCUGUUAUAGUCCGCAAUAGCUCCUGCUACUAUUUCAGAAGCACUUGCACUACCUUGAUUAAUUAAAACAAUCAUGGGCAGAUCUAUGGCCCCUAUGUCAGAGACUGUAUUGAAUACUUCAUCAUCUUUAGUUCUGCUUUUUACGGUUACAACUUUACCAUCUUCAAUGAAAUUACUUGCAACCUUAACGGAUUCCUCUAAAAUACCGCCUGGGUUGGAAC
Molecule: non-coding RNA, 303 nt
Filed under: marine eukaryotic metagenome
Source: RNAcentral